ACCUGGUUGAUCCUGCCAGUGGUCAUAUGCUCGUCUCAAAGACUAAGCCAUGCAUGUCCAAGUUCAUAACUUUAUGUUGAAACUGCGAAUGGCUCAGUAAAUCGGUUAUAGUCCGUUCUGCAAACGAGAGCGCGGAUAACCGUGGCAAAUCUAGAGCUAACACGAAGAAGGUCUCCGAGGAGAGCAUUUACUAAAGUCGAAACGUACCCUCCUCUAGGUAGGGUACGGAGAGUGAGUGAAAGUAACUGUACAACCGGCUGCAAAGACGGUGAGUAGGAAGGAAUUUCUGCCCUAUCAACUAGUUGGCAGGGUAGUGGCCUACCAAAGCGGUAACGGGUAACGGGGAAUCAGGGUUUGAUUCCGGAGAGGGAGCCUUAGAAACGGCUACCACGUCCAAGGAAGGCAGCAGGCGCGCAAAUUACCCACUCUAGAUACUGGGAGGUAGUGACGAGAAAUAAUGGGGGCACCCUAAAAGGGCGCCGUCUGUAAUGAACGAAACACAAAAGCGUCGGUGAGGACCUACUGGAGGGCAAGUCUGGUGCCAGCAGCCGCGGUAAUUCCAGCUCCAGUAGUGUAUAUCAACAUUGUUGCGCUUAAAACGCUCGUAGUUGGGUUGCAGAUCGUACGAGAGUAGCCUUUUGGGCGACUCUUUAGAAAUCCUUUAGAGGCUAGUAUUUUAUUACCUCUAGAAGACGGUACGAGAUUGACUAUCGGAAAGACGGCCCGUUUUCAAUAACCCGCCUGCUAUCCCGGUAAAGUGUGCCUUGAAUAAAGCAUAAUGCUAAAAGUAAGCUAGUAGCUCGAGUGUAAUAGCAUGGAACGAAUAGUGACCAAGGGCGCAAGCCCGCCCUGUCAAUUGACACAGGGGGUCUCAAUGACCAAGAGGAAAGUUUGCGGGCACUGGUACUUUGGGGCGAGAGGUGAAAUUCUUAGACCCCCAAAAGACCAACUACUGCGAAGGCAUUUGCCAAAGAUGUUUCCGUUAAUCAAGAACGAAGGUCAGAGGAUCGAAGACGAUCAGAUACCGUCCUAGUUUUGACAGAAAACUCUGCCGGCGUAGGUGGGCGGCGAUCACUCGCAAAGAGACGAAUCACCGCGGACCUUAGGGGAAACCUGAGCUUUCGGGCUGCUGGGAGAAUAUUGCUGCAAGGCUGAAAUUUAAAGAAAUUGACGGAGAGGCACCACCAGGAGUGGAGCUUGCGGCUUAAUUUGACUCAACACGGGGAAACUCACCGGGUCCAGACAUUGGAAGGAUUGACAGAGUGGUGGAUCUUUCAUGAUUCAGUGAAUGGUGGUGCAUGGCCGUUCUUAGUUGGUGGAGUGAUCUGUCAGGUUUAUUCCGGUAACGAGCGAGACCGCGGUCUUUAAUUGGCUUCCAUUAAUUAAACCUUUCACCGGGUUUAAUGGUGGAUUCGAAAUAAAGAGACAAUCGGUGCAAAGCCGGCGGAAGCGCGGCAAUAACAGGUCUGUGAUGCCCUGCGAUGUCCUGGGCUGCACGCGUGCUACAAUGGCAGGAUAAGAAGGCGGCUGGCCCGAGCGGGUUGGCGAAGCGUCAAUACCUGCCGCGAUGGGGACUGAGCCUUGCAAUUAUUGCUCACGAAAGAGGAAUUCCUCGUAGGCGCAGGUCAUGAGCCUGCGUCGAAUACGUCUCUGCCUCUUGUACACACCGCCCGUCGCUACUACCGAUGGGGGGCUCGCAGAGGCGGCCAGAGAGCCCUGCAUUCAAUUUGCCUGUCUCCACGGCCUACGAUGCGAGUAGCCUAGAGGAAGUAAAAGUCGUAACAAGGUUUCCGUAGGUGAACCUGCGGAAG
Molecule: ribosomal RNA, 1811 nt
Filed under: Ceratomyxa cottoidii
Lineage: Eukaryota; Metazoa; Cnidaria; Myxozoa; Bivalvulida; Ceratomyxidae
Description: bacterial SSU rRNA
Rfam family: Eukaryotic small subunit ribosomal RNA
Source: RNAcentral